GUAAGACUGGGAUAACUCCGGGAAACCGGGGCUAAUACCGGAUGGUUGUCUGAACCGCAUGGUUCAGACAUAAAAGGUGGCUUCGGCUACCACUUACAGAUGGACCCGCGGCGCAUUAGCUAGUUGGUGAGGUAACGGCUCACCAAGGCGACGAUGCGUAGCCGACCUGAGAGGGUGAUCGGCCACACUGGGACUGAGACACGGCCCAGACUCCUACGGGAGGCAGCAGUAGGGAAUCUUCCGCAAUGGACGAAAGUCUGACGGAGCAACGCCGCGUGAGUGAUGAAGGUUUUCGGAUCGUAAAGCUCUGUUGUUAGGGAAGAACAAGUGCCGUUCAAAUAGGGCGGCACCUUGACGGUACCUAACCAGAAAGCCACGGCUAACUACGUGCCAGCAGCCGCGGUAAUACGUAGGUGGCAAGCGUUGUCCGGAAUUAUUGGGCGUAAAGGGCUCGCAGGCGGUUUCUUAAGUCUGAUGUGAAAGCCCCCGGCUCAACCGGGGAGGGUCAUUGGAAACUGGGGAACUUGAGUGCAGAAGAGGAGAGUGGAAUUCCACGUGUAGCGGUGAAAUGCGUAGAGAUGUGGAGGAACACCAGUGGCGAAGGCGACUCUCUGGUCUGUAACUGACGCUGAGGAGCGAAAGCGUGGGGAGCGAACAGGAUUAGAUACCCUGGUAGUCCACGCCGUAAACGAUGAGUGCUAAGUGUUAGGGGGUUUCCGCCCCUUAGUGCUGCAGCUAACGCAUUAAGCACUCCGCCUGGGGAGUACGGUCGCAAGACUGAAACUCAAAGGAAUUGACGGGGGCCCGCACAAGCGGUGGAGCAUGUGGUUUAAUUCGAAGCAACGCGAAGAACCUUACCAGGUCUUGACAUCCUCUGACAAUCCUAGAGAUAGGACGUCCCCUUCGGGGGCAGAGUGACAGGUGGUGCAUGGUUGUCGUCAGCUCGUGUCGUGAGAUGUUGGGUUAAGUCCCGCAACGAGCGCAACCCUUGAUCUUAGUUGCCAGCAUUCAGUUGGGCACUCUAAGGUGACUGCCGGUGACAAACCGGAGGAAGGUGGGGAUGACGUCAAAUCAUCAUGCCCCUUAUGACCUGGGCUACACACGUGCUACAAUGGACAGAACAAAGGGCAGCGAAACCGCGAGGUUAAGCCAAUCCCACAAAUCUGUUCUCAGUUCGGAUCGCAGUCUGCAACUCGACUGCGUGAAGCUGGAAUCGCUAGUAAU
RNAcentral lists this ribosomal RNA (1224 nucleotides) under Bacillus sp. RIC12-Oh010. Its description in RNAcentral is "bacterial SSU rRNA". It matches the Rfam family "Bacterial small subunit ribosomal RNA", at positions 132 to 1342 of the family's 1533-position model. Lineage: Bacteria; Bacillati; Bacillota; Bacilli; Caryophanales; Bacillaceae. The record is from RNAcentral.